GGGCCCGCACAAGCAGUGGAGUAUGUGGUUUAAUUCGACGCAACGCGAAGAACCUUACCAGGGCUUGACAUAUACAGGAAUAUACUAGAGAUAGUAUAGCUCUUCGGAGUCUGUAUACAGGUGGUGCAUGGUUGUCGUCAGCUCGUGUCGUGAGAUGUUGGGUUAAGUCCCGCAACGAGCGCAACCCCUGUCCUUAGUUGCCAGCACGUAAUGGUGGGAACUCUAGGGAGACUGCCGGUGAUAAAUCGGAGGAAGGUGGGGACGACGUCAAAUCAUCAUGCCCUUUAUGUCCUGGGCUACACACGUACUACAAUGGCUGUUAACAAAGAGAAGCAAGACCGCGAGGUGGAGCAAAACUCAAAAAUGCAGUCUCAGUUCGGAUUGAAGGCUGAAAUUCGCCUUCAUGAAGCCGGAAUUGCUAGUAAUGGCAGGUCAACAUACUG
RNAcentral lists this ribosomal RNA (443 nucleotides) under uncultured Bacillota bacterium. RNAcentral's name for it is "bacterial SSU rRNA". It matches the Rfam family "Bacterial small subunit ribosomal RNA", at positions 917 to 1359 of the family's 1533-position model. The record is from RNAcentral. Lineage: Bacteria; Bacillati; Bacillota.